Molecule: unclassified non-coding RNA, 418 nt
Filed under: Hevea brasiliensis (rubber tree)
Lineage: Eukaryota; Viridiplantae; Streptophyta; Magnoliopsida; Malpighiales; Euphorbiaceae
Source: RNAcentral
AGGGAGAGAAGAACCAGAAUAAGUGGGAGGUUGAAGAAACUACAAGAGCUUGUUCCUAACAUGGAUAAGCAAACAAGCUAUGCAGACAUGUUGGAUUUGGCAGUGCAGCACAUCAAAGUCCUUCAAAAUGAAGUUAAGAAACUACACAAUGAAUUGGAAAACUGUACAUGCGGAUGCAGGCAGGCCAACCACGUGACAGUCAUUUUGGCUAACUGGGAUUUUCAUGAAACAAGUUUUUGAUCCAAGGAUUCUGAAGGCAAGGGGACUCUAGCCAAGGCUAGCUAAUUUUGUUAUUGCACCAAGUUUAACUUAAUAAUGCAAAGUAGAAGUUUAGAUACUCUAAAUUGUAUAUAAAGAAUUUACAUGGGUUAAUUUGUUGUAACUCCUAAAAAAAAAUCAUUUUACACAUUUUUUUUUA